Molecule: ribosomal RNA, 254 nt
Filed under: uncultured bacterium
Lineage: Bacteria
Description: partial 16S ribosomal RNA
Rfam family: Bacterial small subunit ribosomal RNA
Source: RNAcentral
UACGAAGGGGGCUAGCGUUGUUCGGAAUCACUGGGCGUAAAGCGUAUGCAGGCGGAUCGUUAAGUCGGGGGUGAAAUCCCGAGGCUCAACCUCGGAACUGCCUUCGAUACUGGCGAUCUUCGAGUCCGGGAGAGGUGAGUGGAACUGCGAGUGUAGAGGUGAAAUUCGUAGAUAUUCGCAAGAACACCAGUGGCGAAGGCGGCUCACUGGCCCGGUACUGACGCUGAGAUACGAAAGCGUGGGGAGCAAACAGG